GCCUCGUUAGCUCAGUUGGUAGAGCAGCUCCCUCUUAAGGAGAUGGUCGUGGGUUCGAAUCCCUCACGAGGUA
Molecule: transfer RNA, 73 nt
Filed under: Candidatus Kuenenbacteria bacterium CG08_land_8_20_14_0_20_37_23
Lineage: Bacteria; Candidatus Kueneniibacteriota
Also listed under: 1 other name
Description: tRNA-Lys
Rfam family: tRNA
About the family: Transfer RNA (tRNA) molecules are approximately 80 nucleotides in length. Their secondary structure includes four short double-helical elements and three loops (D, anti-codon, and T loops).
Source: RNAcentral